Molecule: ribosomal RNA, 497 nt
Filed under: uncultured bacterium
Lineage: Bacteria
Description: partial 16S ribosomal RNA
Rfam family: Bacterial small subunit ribosomal RNA
Source: RNAcentral
GACGAACGCUGGCGGCGUACCUAAUACAUGCAAGUCGAGCGAACAGACGAGGAGCUUGCUCCUCUGACGUUAGCGGCGGACGGGUGAGUAACACGUGGAUAACCUACCUAUAAGACUGGGAUAACUUCGGGAAACCGGAGCUAAUACCGGAUAAUAUAUUGAACCGCAUGGUUCAAUAGUGAAAGACGGUUUUGCUGCCACUUAUAGAUGGAUCCGCGCCGCAUUAGCUAGUUGGUAAGGUAACGGCUUACCAAGGCGACGAUGCGUAGCCGACCUGAGAGGGUGAUCGGCCACACUGGAACUGAGACACGGUCCAGACUCCUACGGGAGGCAGCAGUAGGGAAUCUUCCGCAAUGGGCGAAAGCCUGACGGAGCAACGCCGCGUGAGUGAUGAAGGUCUUCGGAUCGUAAAGCUCUGUUAUUAGGGAAGAACAAAUGUGUAAGUAACUAUGCACGUCUUGACGGUACCUAAUCAGAAAGCCACGGCUAACUACGUG